Long non-coding RNA from Oxyura jamaicensis (ruddy duck), 1869 nucleotides. RefSeq lists it as uncharacterized. The transcript has 3 exons. The record is from RefSeq and is a predicted model, not a curated record. Lineage: Eukaryota; Metazoa; Chordata; Aves; Anseriformes; Anatidae.
GCAGCAGGACUCCCUGGAAUCCCGGUGGUGCAGCACUGCUGGGUUUUUAGGGGGUUAAUGGAUCAUGGGAAGCCACAGAGCCAUUGCAGUGUGGCUUUGUGUGUUGGCAUCAAGGCUUCUUUGUGCACGCACGUGGCUGUUUCAGAUGUUUCACAGAACUGAUAGCUGUUGUACAAGAACAGCUCAGCCUUCCAGGAUUUUAUCCUGAGGUUAGUUGGGCUCGGUUUCCCUGCUUGAAGGGUCGGUCUAAGUCUGCUUUGUUUUGCUACCAGUUAGCAUUCAGUUCUAGAAGUAAAGGACUCCUGAAGCCUUCUGCUUUCCCUGGCCAACCAAACUCUGUUUGCAGUGUUCUUAUAGCUGUAACAGAAGGGGAGCGAGGGAUUUUUCUCCUGUGUCCUUGUUGGCUUUUACCCUCUGAUCUCAUACUGCUUUUCCACCUCUGUGGGUGGGGGAUGGCAGUGCUAUGGCUUGGGCUUGCUGGGAUGGCGCAGCAGGGAAAAGGGUUCCAGGCUGGCAGAUUUAUUUCUUAGCUCUAGUCUAGGGGGGACAGAUAAUUCCUCUCACGUCUGCUGAAUAUGGGCUGCAUCUAAUCAGAAGUGCAAUCACACACUUCUCGGUUCCUUCCAGGAAGCGUGCUGCUCUCCAGGGUGGGGUGCCCACGCCGUGUGCCCAGGUGUGCAGUGCUCUGUGUGCACAGCCCAUGUGCUUCCUGCUGAAAUCUGCAGCCCAGUCAGAGGGAAAGGAAGGCUUUUCCUGCAGGUAUGUUAUUUGUUAUGCAGGUCACUGAAACCAGAGAAGCUUUAUAAUCGAAUGUGAGCAUCUAGCAUUAUCCAGGUUGAAGCCAACUGGAUUAGUGGAAUGCAAGCACUCAGAAUAAUGUUGAUUUUUGUAAUUACUUUAAAGAAAGUAACAUUCUUAAAGGAAAAAAAAAAAAAAAGUGGUAGCUUUCUCAGAAAGAUUCUUGCUUUGUAAGAUCUAAUCUGGGGUUCAGACUGACCUGACAGAGCCCUCUCACAGCAGUUCAAUACAGCAUGCUCCACGGUAUCUUGCCAGCUGCAUGCUGUGAAACUUUUGCAGUCAUUAAAUAGUGAAGAUAUUUGACGUACCACAAUUACAGAGUCCUCUGGUGAAUAACUGUGCUAUAAAGCACAACUGUGAGGACUGCUAUUUUAGAAUAUGCAGUGUUGUAGCUUCUGUUAUUUGUGCUGGAUAAUAUGGUGUGUAACUCUGCUGAAUUUUGAUGCAUUUUAAAUGGGGUUGAAAUAUAUUUGUAUUUUGCUGAUGUAAUAGAAAGAUGAAGCGCACAGGUAUCCUUUCUUUCCCUAUUACUCCCUAACAUUAAAUGAAUAAAUAACUAGUCUAGUUUGUAUGUGAAGAUGCAGGUUAUACUUCAAAGUGAUACAGCAGGGUACAAAUUGCACCCAACAUCAUGACAUAUUGCAAUAAACUGAACCUAAAAAAAUCCCUGCAAUAUAGAAGAGCUAAAACUGAUUCUGGUUCUUUGUUGGAGAUAGAGGCAGUGUUAUUAAGUGUGCAGAGCUUCACCCAAGGGACAAGGGCCUGUGAUGCUCCACCUCUGCGGAGGAGUAGAUGCGUGCCUGGCUGUCCUGGCUGCCUGUGGCAUUGGCAGCAAAAUCUUGACCUUCUGAGUGUGGGGGAGGGCUCGGGCAGGAUUGUCCCCUCUGACUGCUGCUGGUCCUGGCACAGCCAGCACAUCUUGUUCACUUGUGUUGGACUUUUUGAUAGUAAAACAGAUGCAAAGUAAAGUACAUACGAGGAACAGACGCAGUCACAGAACUGAUGUUUUGCAAAUCCUUUACAACUUUCCACUCAUAUUGAUGUAAAACCUGUGAUCAGACUGCAUCAAAC